UGCCAUAAUGGAGAUGUAUUGUAUUGUAUGUAUUUGGUUUCGAUUCAUGUUAGGGUGAUUGGUGUAGGAUAAUUGGCCUUCUGUGAUGUUUGCAAUGGCAGGAGGGGUGGUACUUAGCCUUGGAAAUCUCUCAACUCAGUAUGCUUGGGCUUUUGUUGGCUUAUCAGUCACAGAAGUGAUCACUGUAAGCAUAACAGUUGUUAUAGGAACAACCUCGAAUUACUUUUAGACAAUAGAAUUAAUAGAGCCGAGAUCCUUUUCCCUGGUGUUGGCUGCUUCUUGGUUGCAGUUUGCCUUGCUUCUACUGUCCACUCAUCUAAUGCAGCUGAUAAUAAAGAAAAGCUUGAAGGUUUUUCAUCUAAAGAGGGGUGUUUGGGAAAAGCACUCUCAUUGGACUGUCCAUAUGUUUCUUUGCUGGUGUAUGCUUUUCUCUAUUCUGACCAGUAUUCAACUUGGCAACAAAUGAUCAAUGUCAUACAUUGAAAGAUGGGGUUCCUCACUUGGUUGUCUACACUGCAUUCUUUUACUUCUCAGUAUCUUGUUUUGUCCUUGCUAUAAUCCUCACAUCACAUUCCUUUACUACCCUGUGCUG
Molecule: long non-coding RNA, 592 nt
Organism: Humulus lupulus (European hop)
Lineage: Eukaryota; Viridiplantae; Streptophyta; Magnoliopsida; Rosales; Cannabaceae
Exons: 3
Source: RefSeq, a predicted model, not a curated record